Molecule: ribosomal RNA, 433 nt
Filed under: uncultured bacterium
Lineage: Bacteria
Description: partial 16S ribosomal RNA
Rfam family: Bacterial small subunit ribosomal RNA
Source: RNAcentral
AACGAACGCUGGCGGCAUGCCUAACACAUGCAAGUCGAACGAGACCUUCGGGUCUAGUGGCGCAAGGGUGCGUAACGCGUGGGAACCUGCCCUUAGGUUCGGAAUAACUCCCCGAAAGGGGUGCUAAUACCGGAUAAUGUCUUCGGACCAAAGAUUUAUCGCCUUUGGAUGGGCCCGCGUUGGAUUAGCUAGUUGGUAGGGUAAAAGCCUACCAAGGCGACGAUCCAUAGCUGGUCUGAGAGGAUGAUCAGCCACCCUGGGACUGAGACACGGCCCAGACUCCUACGGGAGGCAGCAGUGGGGAAUAUUGGACGCUGGGCGAAAGCCUGAUCCAGCAAUGCCGCGUGAGUGAUGAAGGCCUUAGGGUUGUAAAGCUCUUUUAACCGGGAUGAUAAUGACAGUACCGGGAGAAUAAGCUCCGGCUAACUCCGUG